AUAUAUAUAUAUAUAUAUAUAUAUAAAAUUAUAUACAUAUAUAAUUAUAUUAAUUUUUAUUUAUUAUAAUUUAUUAUUAACUAUAAGUUACAAAAUAGAUAAUAAUUUCACUUCGGAGGUAACUAUACCAGGGGUGGAGAUAUACACUUUUUAUGUCAUCUACUUUCUACCAAACAAACAACAGAACUCACAGAACUGCACUUCUACAGUUAGAAACAAACAGCAGAAGUGAACUAAUUUUUACCCCAACUCCACUUCAACUCCAAGUCGACUUCCACCCCAAGUCUACUUACGUCGAAACAAACAUGCCCUUAGUACUAUAGAUAGUAUAGUAACUGGACUCUCUCUCUCUAUGUAUAUAAUUUAAUACAAAAAAAC
Molecule: long non-coding RNA, 378 nt
Filed under: Ananas comosus (pineapple)
Lineage: Eukaryota; Viridiplantae; Streptophyta; Magnoliopsida; Poales; Bromeliaceae
Description: long non-coding RNA (ACOM_LNC012860)
Source: RNAcentral